This is a long non-coding RNA of Sander lucioperca (pikeperch), 1128 nucleotides long. RefSeq lists it as uncharacterized. The transcript has 4 exons. The record is from RefSeq and is a predicted model, not a curated record. Lineage: Eukaryota; Metazoa; Chordata; Actinopteri; Perciformes; Percidae.
AGUAAAAUAUAGGCUACAAGGGAUCAAAAGUAAAAGUAGCAUGGCAGAGAAGUUAAAGGUCUAUCACUGAUCAAGAAAGGGAUUUUCCUGAUAAUCCUGCAUGUGGUAGCCCUUGAACACCAAAAAGUGUGUAUAAAUUACCUUAACUGUAAGGUAACGGAAGUGUUUUGCAUAUUAUUUUUUUUACUGUAAAUAGUCUCGAUUGUGGUGUUUUUCUUUGGGUUGUUAUGUUUUCUCUGCUUGCCUGGCACGAGGACACCCUCCAAACGCACCUGAGGCGCAUCUCCUAAUUAGGAGAGAAACGUUGGAUUGGCACGAGGACACUCUCCAAACACACGUGAAGCGCAUUCCCUAAUCAGGACAGAGACGUGAGAUCGACAGCUACUGAUAAAAAAAAAAAAAAAAAAAGUUUAAUGUUGGGGCGACCUCAGUUCUUGACAACAAAGGCUAAAUUCAGCUAGUUAGCAUAUUUCUGCAAAUAUAUUUGCAUUGCAAAGUUUGACAAUUUCAGCUUAUCAACAAUGCAAAUGGGUCUUGUUGCAUCUACAGUAUGAUUACCAAACAGUGUGCAGAAGCGAGAAUGCAUGUUUUGACAAAACACUUUUUGCUAAAGCUCAACUGAGCUAACUCUUCUCAAGCUACACCUUUCUAAAGAAGAUGAUUUACAGAGUGGUGUUGCCAGCGUUGCUUCAUGGGGAGGUGGUGUAUGUUGCCCACCAGAGGGGGCUGCUGACAGCAGAUGAUUGGGACCGCAGCAUCCACUGCAUGCUGAGACUGGAGCUGCCUGUGUGGCACCAGAACUGCACCCUGGCUGGCCCUGGUGCAGCCCUGAAGUAACGUUGGAAGAACUCUGCUGGCCCUCUGAGGAUGCCUCUACCCACAGGACUGGGAUAUGCAGGUGACGAUUGGCAUGCUCAAGCUUCUUCUGGCGAGUCUCCAGGUCCUUGGCCCUCUGCUGUUCCCGCUGUAGUUUCCUGAUGUAGUCCACUGAUGCCUUCAGGAUGGUGCCUUUGUUCCAGCGCAUGUCCCUGAAAAUCAAAGGCAGGAGUUGCUGAUGGGUAGACCUUGCUGGGACAUACUCUGAUUACCAUACAUGUCCAUGAGGUUAGCAUUCAAGGGGAUCUGAGG